UAAUUAUUUUUUUAGUAAAAA
Molecule: non-coding RNA, 21 nt
Filed under: Caenorhabditis elegans
Lineage: Eukaryota; Metazoa; Nematoda; Chromadorea; Rhabditida; Rhabditidae
Source: RNAcentral